AUGAACAUUUUCUCUUUGCUAUUGCAGUUGUGUAUAGCUCUAUGUGUCGGCACAAACAGCAGUGCAUGGUUGGGAACUGCGGCGCUUGUGACCAACAUGAGGAACUUCCCUCUGAGUCGAGGAACCGUUGCUGGUCUCAUCAAAGGUUAUGUUGCUGUUAGUGCUGCUGUCUACACGGAAACGUUCAAUGGAAUGCUUAACAAUUCACCCACAAACCUUUUGCUAUUGCUUGCUUUGGGGAUCCCGGUAGCAUGUGUUGUGGUGAUGUAUUUUGUUAGGCCCUGCACCCCAUCACUGGAUGAGGAUAAUGCAACCGAACACAGCCACUUCGUGUUCACACAGGUCUCUAGUGUGGUUCUCGGCGUAUAUCUUAUGGUGGCUACAAUACUCGGCGAUACUUUGAACCUAAGCGCGACUAUCACCUACCUUUUGUUUGGUAUAAUGAUACUCCUGCUCCUUUCUCCACUUGCCAUACCAAUCAAAAUGACACUUUAUCCAAGCAAACUAAAGGAGGAGAAGGCCAGCACCCUGCUUGUUCCAUCUUAUUCAACGGAUAGUUUGUCCGGUGCGGAUCAAGAGAAUGGAGAACCGCUUCUGCGUGGCACUUCGGCGACGUUUGUUCCAGGCAACAAUGAUUCUGAUGAGACUGAUCUGGAUGUUCUGCUGGCUGAGGGUGAGGGAGCAGUGAAUUUGAAGAAGAGGAAAGGACCAAGAAGAGGGGACGAUUUCACAUUUGCUGAAGCCUUAGUAAAGGCAGAUUUCUGGCUACUGUUCAUUGUAUACUUUUGUGGUGUUGGCACUGGUGUCACUGCUCUAAACAACCUAGCUCAGAUUGGGACUUCUGUUGGUGCUAAUGACACAACUGUUUUGUUGUGCCUCUUCGGCUUCUGCAACUUUGUUGGCCGUAUCCUUGGUGGAUCUAUCUCUGAAUAUUUUGUAAGAACAAGAAUGCUUCCUCGUCCUUUCUGGAUGAUGUGCACACAAAUAAUCAUGGUGGUAACCUUCCUCCUUUUCGCGACCGGUCUCCACAGCCUGAUCUACGUGUCAACGACGCUGCUGGGGAUAUGCUACGGGGUCCAGUUCGCGGUCAUGAUACCGACCGUGUCGGAGCUUUUCGGGCUCAAGGACUUUGGGUUGAUGUACAACUUCAUGCUCAUGGUGAACCCGAUCGGCGCGUUCUUUUUCUCGGCCCUCCUUGCCGGUUACGUCUACGACAAGGAGGCGGAGAGGCAGAACCCGGGCGUGCUGGACCCUUCAAACUGCUUUGGACCUGACUGUUUCAGGCUCACAUUCUACGUCUGUGCCAUGGUGUGUUGCUGCGGAACCCUGAUCUGCCUAGUUUUCAUCGCGAGGAUCAAGCCGGUUUAUCAGAUGCUAUAUGCUAGUGGGUCGUUCAGACACCCUCGACAGCAGCAGCUGUACUGA
RNAcentral lists this ribosomal RNA (1425 nucleotides) under Triticum aestivum (bread wheat). Its description in RNAcentral is "partial small subunit ribosomal RNA". The record is from RNAcentral. Lineage: Eukaryota; Viridiplantae; Streptophyta; Magnoliopsida; Poales; Poaceae.